RNAcentral lists this ribosomal RNA (1383 nucleotides) under uncultured bacterium. RNAcentral describes it as "bacterial SSU rRNA". It matches the Rfam family "Bacterial small subunit ribosomal RNA". The record is from RNAcentral.
AGAGUUUGAUCCUGGCUCAGGAUAAACGCUGGCGGCGCACAUAAGACAUGCAAGUCGAACGAACUUAACCAAUUGUUUUACUUUUGGAGCGGUUAGUGGCGGACUGGUGAGUAACACGUAAGCAACCUGCCUAUCAGAGGGGAACAACAGUUAGAAAUGACUGCUAAUACCGCAUAUGCCAUGAAUAUCACAUGAUAUAAAUGGGAAAGGAGCAAUCCGCUGAUAGAUGGGCUUGCGUCUGAUUAGAUAGUUGGUGGGGUAACGGCCUACCAAGUCGACGAUCAGUAGCCGGACUGAGAGGUUGAACGGCCACAUUGGGACUGAGAUACGGCCCAGACUCCUACGGGAGGCAGCAGUCGGGAAUAUUGCGCAAUGGAGGAAACUCUGACGCAGUGACGCCGCGUGCAGGAAGAAGGUUUUCGGAUUGUAAACUGCUUUAGACAGGGAAGAACAAGGACAGUACCUGUAGAAUAAGCUCCGGCUAACUACGUGCCAGCAGCCGCGGUAAUACGUAGGGAGCAAGCGUUAUCCGGAUUUAUUGGGUGUAAAGGGUGCGUAGACGGGAAGGCAAGUUGGUUGUGAAAUCCCUCGGCUUAACUGAGGAACUGCAACCAAAACUAUCUUUCUUGAGUGCUGGAGAGGAAAGUGGAAUUCCUAGUGUAGCGGUGAAAUGCGUAGAUAUUAGGAGGAACACCAGUGGCGAAGGCGACUUUCUGGACAGUAACUGACGUUGAGGCACGAAAGUGUGGGGAGCAAACAGGAUUAGAUACCCUGGUAGUCCACACCGUAAACGAUGGAUACUAGGUGUAGGGGAUGAAUAAUCUUCUGUGCCGUCGCAAACGCAGUAAGUAUCCCACCUGGGGAGUACGGCCGCAAGGUUGAAACUCAAAGGAAUUGACGGGGGCCCGCACAAGCAGUGGAGUAUGUGGUUUAAUUUGACGCAACGCGAAGAACCUUACCAGGGCUUGACAUAUACAUGACAGUCUAAGAGAUUAGACCUCUCUUCGGAGCAUGUAUACAGGUGGUGCAUGGUUGUCGUCAGCUCGUGUCGUGAGAUGUUGGGUUAAGUCCCGCAACGAGCGCAACCCCUGUUCUUAGUUGCCAGCACGUUAAGGUGGGAACUCUAAGAAGACUGCCGGUGAUAAAUCGGAGGAAGGUGGGGACGACGUCAAAUCAUCAUGCCCUUUAUGUCCUGGGCUACACACGUACUACAAUGGCUGUAACAAAGGGAAGCGAAACCGCGAGGUGGAGCAAAACCCAAAAAAGCAGUCUCAGUUCGGAUUGAAGGCUGAAAUUCGCCUUCAUGAAGCCGGAAUUGCUAGUAAUGGCAGGUCAGCAUACUGCCGUGAAUACGUUCCCGGGCCUUGCACUCACCGCCCGUCA